Long non-coding RNA from Cyprinus carpio carpio, 1113 nucleotides. Lineage: Eukaryota; Metazoa; Chordata; Actinopteri; Cypriniformes; Cyprinidae. The record is from Ensembl.
UUUCUCAAGCAGAAGUGUUACUAAAGUCACAUUCAAGCACUACUGUAACAUUCAGAGGCGCUCAAGUUACUGUGUAACACUGUUCGGAAUGUACAGAUGCUACUUUUGUAUCAUGUGAUUGAAACAUCAGAAAUAUUUCUUCCCAAAAAUGAAGUCAGAGUUUUCAUCGGUUUGUUGUAUUUAUAUUCUGUGUAUAUGUGGAUGCUGUCUGUGUGUAUAAUAAGAGACCGGGGCUAGUUGUCACAGUUUAUUUAUUUAUUUAUUUUUUAACUCCAGUUGUUAUUUCUGUUUUGACAAAAGUUUAACAUACAAAACUGUGAAUAUAUCUCCAUCAUUACUUUCCAGGGAAGUAGGAAGCUGUUCGAGACGUGUUGAACACCACGGAGGGGCAUGCUGACUAUAUUGGGCUGCAGGAGAGUUUCUGUUCAUAUCCGGAUGUGUUUGGAGCUUCAGGAGAUGAAGAGUCCCGGGACUCGCCUUACAACAGCCAAUCAGCAUCAGCCGUGGGAGGCUGACAGAACGGGGCCACGGUACAACACAAACCUCUAAACCUGUCAGGCUUGUCGAAGCCAUUUCAGUUUGAGGUUCUCCCUCAGGUCCUGGACUGAAUUACCACUUCAAAGUCGGCGUGGAUGGAGGCGUCCCCGUGAGCCGGGCCCCGGGACUCCCUCAGAGACACAUAACCAACAACAUAGUUAGCAUAUUAAUUAUGAUAUUUUAGUGGAGUUGAGUGUUUUUAGCUGCUGUAAUGAACUGAGCGAGCGCAGAGGUGAUGGAGAACAGACAGCUGAUGAUAAUAGAGAGGUGCAGGAGACUCAGAAACACAGUGACAUCAGACAUUAGUUAUUCAGAGGGAAAAGCACUGUGGGUGGUUGCCAGGGCGUUGCUAUGGAAUAAAAGAUCAUGAUUACAAGGCCAGUGCAUUAAUGAAUUAAUUCCCGUAUGGCCAAUAAAUAAAUAAAUAUUUUUAAAUCUACUCUAAAUAUAAAUAGUUUACAGUUAAGUUUAAAGAAAUAUAUAUAUUUUUUAACAGAAAAUAUACAGUAUAUAUAUAUUCUGGACAAAUAAAUAAUAAGCUCAAUAAAAUAUUAAAAAAUAUUUAUACAUAAAAAA